GGAUUCCCCUAGUAACUGCGAGUGAAGCGGGAAAAGCUCAAAUUUAAAAUCUGGCAGUCUUUGGCUGUCCGAGUUGUAAUCUAGAGAAGUGUUAUCCGCGUUGGACCGUGUACAAGUCUCCUGGAAUGGAGCAUCAUAGAGGGUGAGAAUCCCGUCUUUGACAUGGACUACCAGUGCUUUGUGAUGCGCUCUCAAAGAGUCGAGUUGUUUGGGAAUGCAGCUCAAAAUGGGUGGUAAAUUCCAUCUAAAGCUAAAUAUUGGCGAGAGACCGAUAGCGAACAAGUACCGUGAGGGAAAGAUGAAAAGAACUUUGGAAAGAGAGUUAAACAGUACGUGAAAUUGCUGAAAGGGAAACGCUUGAAGUCAGUCGCGUUGGCUGGAAAUCAACCUUGCUUUUGCUGGGCGUACUUUCUAAGUCAAUGGGUCAGCAUCAAUUUUGACCAUUGGAAAAAGUGUAGGGGAAUGUGGCAUCUUCGGAUGUGUUAUAGCCCCUGCUCGCAUACAAUGGUUGGGAUUGAGGAAUUCAGCACGCCGCAAGGCCGGGUUUCGACCACGUUCGUGCUUAGGAUGCUGGCAUAAUGGCUUUAAUCGACCCGUCUUGAAA
This 604-nucleotide ribosomal RNA is filed under the name Conocybe deliquescens. Its description in RNAcentral is "partial large subunit ribosomal RNA". It matches the Rfam family "Eukaryotic large subunit ribosomal RNA", at positions 72 to 659 of the family's 3401-position model. The record is from RNAcentral. Lineage: Eukaryota; Fungi; Basidiomycota; Agaricomycetes; Agaricales; Bolbitiaceae.